Molecule: ribosomal RNA, 497 nt
Filed under: uncultured bacterium
Lineage: Bacteria
Description: partial 16S ribosomal RNA
Rfam family: Bacterial small subunit ribosomal RNA
Source: RNAcentral
GAUGAACGCUGGCGGCGUGCCUAAUACAUGCAAGUCGAGCGAACGGACGAGAAGCUUGCUUCUCUGAUGUUAGCGGCGGACGGGUGAGUAACACGUGGAUAACCUACCUAUAAGGCUGGGAUAAAUUCGGGAAACCGGAGCUAAUACCGGAUGAUAUUUUGAACCGCAUGGUUCAAAAGUGAAAGACGGUCUUGCUGUCACUUAUAGAUGGAUCCGCGCUGCAUUAGCUAGUUGGUAAGGUAACGGCUUACCAAGGCAACGAUGCAUAGCCGACCUGAGAGGGUGAUCGGCCACACUGGAACUGAGACACGGUCCAGACUCCUACGGGAGGCAGCAGUAGGGAAUCUUCCGCAAUGGGCGAAAGCCUGACGGAGCAACGCCGCGUGAGUGAUGAAGGUCUUCGGAUCGUAAAACUCUGUUAUUAGGGAAGAACAUAUGUGUAAGUAACUGUGCACAUCUUGACGGUACCUAAUCAGAAAGCCACGGCUAACUACGUG